UGGCCCAUGGUGUAACGGUAGCACUCUUGGUUUUGAUCCAAGCAGUCCUAGUUCGAAUCUAGGUGGGCCAG
RNAcentral lists this transfer RNA (71 nucleotides) under Phycisphaerae bacterium. RNAcentral's name for it is "tRNA-Gln". It matches the Rfam family "tRNA". Rfam says of the family: Transfer RNA (tRNA) molecules are approximately 80 nucleotides in length. Their secondary structure includes four short double-helical elements and three loops (D, anti-codon, and T loops). Lineage: Bacteria; Pseudomonadati; Planctomycetota; Phycisphaerae. The record is from RNAcentral.